GCCUCGAUAGCUCAGUCGGGAGAGCGUUAGACUGAAUAUCUAAAGGGCCCUGGUUCAAUCCCGGGUCGAGGCA
Ciona savignyi (Pacific transparent sea squirt) is the source of this 73-nucleotide non-coding RNA. Lineage: Eukaryota; Metazoa; Chordata; Ascidiacea; Phlebobranchia; Cionidae. The record is from Rfam.